CAACCACGAGACGAAGUGAGUGGGUCAUAGUGGAUGCUUAAUUGCGUGACUAGACCCAGGAAAGUCCCCGGGCCCAUUACUGUAGAGAUGCAGGCUCGCAAACGAGAGUGAUCUUCGAGUCGAAGGGAUUAAACUUGCACUUGGUGCACAGGUGGGCUGAGACAUGCGUGGAGCCUUUAUCCCCUUCGCUGAAGCAAAUUUAGCCAAUUCAACACAGUUAUUCACUUGGUCCCUUGUGGAUUAACAGAACGGGGCUUACGAUUUCGUGGUU
RNAcentral lists this RNase MRP RNA (271 nucleotides) under Corchorus capsularis. RNAcentral describes it as "SRP RNA RNase_MRP". It matches the Rfam family "RNase MRP". Rfam says of the family: RNase MRP is an enzymatically active ribonucleoprotein with two distinct roles in eukaryotes. The record is from Rfam by way of RNAcentral. Lineage: Eukaryota; Viridiplantae; Streptophyta; Magnoliopsida; Malvales; Malvaceae.